CAGUAGCCGCGGUAAUACAGAGGGUGCGAGCGUUAAUCGGAUUUACUGGGCGUAAAGCGUGCGUAGGCGGCUUCUUAAGUCGGAUGUGAAAUCCCUGAGCUUAACUUAGGAAUUGCAUUCGAUACUGGGAAGCUAGAGUAUGGGAGAGGAUGGUAGAAUUCCAGGUGUAGCGGUGAAAUGCGUAGAGAUCUGGAGGAAUACCGAUGGCGAAGGCAGCCAUCUGGCCUAAUACUGACGCUGAGGUACGAAAGCAUGGGGAGCAAACAGGAUUAGAUACCCCUGUAGUCCCUCUCUCUUAUAC
This 301-nucleotide ribosomal RNA is filed under the name uncultured bacterium. RNAcentral describes it as "partial 16S ribosomal RNA". It matches the Rfam family "Bacterial small subunit ribosomal RNA", at positions 509 to 807 of the family's 1533-position model. The record is from RNAcentral.